RNAcentral lists this long non-coding RNA (603 nucleotides) under Mytilus galloprovincialis (Mediterranean mussel). Lineage: Eukaryota; Metazoa; Mollusca; Bivalvia; Mytilida; Mytilidae. The record is from RNAcentral.
UUUUAACCUGACAGUUUACAAGACAACAAUCAAAAGAUUUUGCUACCCGAACAAAUUACUCUACUUAAACGGACCAGUAUGCUCUCCUGAUUUCUCGUUGCAAGUAGAGAAGCAGCAAUUACCAAUUGUUAUAUGAUAGGACUCAAUCUGAUAUCGACAUGACAAUAAGGUAAAGAACUUUCAAAAGAUAUCUGUCAGCCGGGUAGACAUGUACACUUUACAAUCAUUCCAUACACCAAAUAAAGUUAACCUAGCCAAAAGGCUCUGAGAUACGAACUUGACCACAGAAACUUAAUUUUGUGCAUUGAUCCAUGAAACAAAGUCAAGGUCAGGUGAGGGGAGACAUGUUGAGUUUUUUAUGGUUCAUCAACUGCUUAAAAAAGAUUGUCAUGUGAAAAUAAACUCAUCAUAGACACCAGGACCAAACUUUGUAUAUACGCCUGACGCACGCCUCGUCCACUAAAGACUCACCAGUGACGCUCGAAUCCAAAAAAGUUUUAAAGGCCAAACAAAGUACGAAGUUGAAGAGCACCGAAGACCAAAAUUCCUAAAACUUUUUGCCAAACACAGCUAAGGUAAUCUAUGCCCGAGGCAGAAAAGCCC